Manis javanica (Malayan pangolin) is the source of this 593-nucleotide non-coding RNA. The record is from RefSeq and is a predicted model, not a curated record. NCBI's taxonomy places the organism in Eukaryota, Metazoa, Chordata, Mammalia, Pholidota, Manidae.
UCCAGAUAAGAAAACUGAAGCCUAGAAGCUUCGUAACUUACCUGGGGUGAGCUAAAUUAAUUCUUCUGCCUCUGGAUGUCCAUACAUGGUAGGUAAGUCCAACCCUGAGAAGAGAUGUGGCCACUAUGUGGGAAGCUUAUUUUCUACAAAGUUUACUGUGGGGAAGAGAGAAGCAGAAAAGAAAUACAAUAAAGUCAUGGAAGAAACGUUUGCUCACUUUUACCCUAGAUCAAGAACAAGAGAAAGUUCAGAGAAAGCAAACAGCACCACCCGGAGGCUGAGAAGGCAGCUUGCUCUUUUAUUUUGGCUCAAAAUAGUGUCCCUGCAGCUCAGCCUCAGCCUGGAAUCACAAGGCAAAGGAGACCUUAUACCAAAUGCAAUAUAUCAGCAGCAAUUCAGUAACAGUCAAACAGAACUGAAGAGACAAGCUACUGUUAUGAGGAAACUGGGUAACAGAUGAAUGAAUUGCAAACCAGAAGUUGAUCAUAAGAAGACUCGAGUUCCAAUAUGCAAAAAAAACAAACAAAAAAAAUGUACAAAAGCUUUUGGUAAUUUUUAAAACAUGAAAGAAAUACAAACUUGAAAUGCUAACA